CCUACGGGAGGCAGCAGUGAGGAAUAUUGGUCAAUGGACGCAAGUCUGAACCAGCCAUGCCGCGUGCAGGAAGACGGCUCUAUGAGUUGUAAACUGCUUUUGUACGAGGGUAAACGCAGAUACGCGUAUCUGUCUGAAAGGAUCGUGCGAAUAAGGAUUGGCUUACUCCGUGCCAGCAGCCGCGGUAAAACGGAGGAUUCAAGCGUUAUCCGGGUUUUUUGGGUUUAAAGGGUGCGGAGGCGGUCUGGUAAGUUAGAGGUGAAAUCCCGAGGCUCAACUUCGGAACUGCCUCUGAUACUGUUCGGCUAGAGAGUAGUUGCGGUAGGCGGAAUGUAUGGUGUAGCGGUGAAAUGCUUAGAGAUCAUACAGAACCCCGAUUGCGAAGGCAGCAUACCAGGCUACUUCUGACGUUGAGGCACGAAAGCGUGGGGAGCAAACAGGAUUAGAUACCUGAGUAGUC
This 460-nucleotide ribosomal RNA is filed under the name uncultured bacterium. RNAcentral describes it as "partial 16S ribosomal RNA". It matches the Rfam family "Bacterial small subunit ribosomal RNA", at positions 338 to 795 of the family's 1533-position model. The record is from RNAcentral.